Molecule: ribosomal RNA, 253 nt
Filed under: uncultured bacterium
Lineage: Bacteria
Description: partial 16S ribosomal RNA
Rfam family: Bacterial small subunit ribosomal RNA
Source: RNAcentral
UACGUAGGGAGCGAGCGUUAUCCGGAUUUACUGGGUGUAAAGGGUGCGUAGGCGGCAAUGUAAGUUUGAUGUGAAACCUUAGGGCUCAACCUUAAGCAUGCAUCAAAAACUACAUAGCUAGAGUGCAGGAGAGGAAAGUGGAAUUCCUAGUGUAGCGGUGAAAUGCGUAGAUAUUAGGAGGAACACCAGUAGCGAAGGCGACUUUCUGGACUGUAACUGACGCUGAGGCACGAAAGCGUGGGGAGCGAACAGG